AUUUCUGCAACAUAUCUUCUUAAUUUGUUUGGUUCCGACUUCUAUUUUUUUCUCCCUGCAUGAAGGAGCUUACAUCAACUCUCGAUGCUGCUUGUGCCCCUAGUGAUCUGGAUUGAUCUGCAGCAAUACCUGAACUCAAUGUUGUUUAUGGUAGAGUGAGCAGGCGCAAGGUCCCAAUCUGAAAGUUGUGGCAGCUAAGCUGGCUACUGAUCUGCAUGUACUGAUCUGCACAUCAGUUACUUGCAUUUUCCAUAAUGAGAUGCAACUAGGAUAGCCAACAAUUUGGGCUGCUGUCUGACGGGUUUUCCUCCUCACAGGAACAUCGAAUACUGCGUGUAUCUACAGGGGAGCUUGGUGCUGCUCGGGCAAACCAAGACAAUGCAGACACAAAAGACUUAAAAGAGCAGGUUUCCAACCUCAAAGCAGCUUUAGCCAAGAAGGAAGAAGAAAUGGAGAACCUUUCUCGUCCAUUAACCAGCACUCCAGAAACAAUCUGGCGCUGAUUUGAAGAAUGCAGCUGAAAUAAAUAGGUGUCAUAUUUCCGGCCCUUAUUUGUCAAGAUCUGAAGAUCUCCGUGUUUUUUUCAUGCAUAUAAUUUUUGAAAUGUAUAGUUUCCAUAUCAGCACUGUAUAUUAUAUUAUAUUAUUAUCGUCUUUGCUUUUUUACGAUGAAAUCUUGCUUUAUAUAUUACCCAAA
Long non-coding RNA from Spinacia oleracea (spinach), 696 nucleotides. RefSeq lists it as uncharacterized. Lineage: Eukaryota; Viridiplantae; Streptophyta; Magnoliopsida; Caryophyllales; Amaranthaceae. The transcript is spliced from 4 exons. The record is from RefSeq and is a predicted model, not a curated record.